CCGUGACAUCUCCCCCUCAAGGGGGGAGAUCGGGGCAAGAGGCUAGCCCACGCCAAUCUCCCCCCUUGAGGGGGAGAUGCCCGGC
RNAcentral lists this microRNA precursor (85 nucleotides) under Rhizobium giardinii. RNAcentral describes it as "microRNA MIR1846". Lineage: Bacteria; Pseudomonadati; Pseudomonadota; Alphaproteobacteria; Hyphomicrobiales; Rhizobiaceae. The record is from RNAcentral.